UACGUAGGGUGCAAGCGUUGUCCGGAAUUAUUGGGCGUAAAGAGCUCGUAGGCGGUUCGUCACGUCGGCUGUGAAAUCCCGAGGCUCAACCUCGGGUCUGCAGUCGAUACAGGCGGACUGGAGUACUGCAGGGGAGACUGGAAUUCCUGGUGUAGCGGUGAAAUGCGCAGAUAUCAGGAGGAACACCGGUGGCGAAGGCGGGUCUCUGGGCAGUAACUGACGCUGAGGAGCGAAAGCGUGGGGAGCGAACAGG
Molecule: ribosomal RNA, 253 nt
Filed under: uncultured bacterium
Lineage: Bacteria
Description: partial 16S ribosomal RNA
Rfam family: Bacterial small subunit ribosomal RNA
Source: RNAcentral